ACCGAACCAAGGCAAAUCCGUACGAAAGUCGGAGACGCAAAGCCACGGGUCUACUUCAUCCCCUGCGGGAUGUUAGGACAGCCGGGCCGCUCAA
RNAcentral lists this non-coding RNA (94 nucleotides) under Paenibacillus stellifer. RNAcentral describes it as "c-di-GMP sequence". It matches the Rfam family "c-di-GMP-I riboswitch aptamer". From Rfam's summary of the family: GEMM was predicted in a large-scale screen for bacterial structured RNA regulatory elements. Genes associated with GEMM are involved in a diverse array of functions, including chemotaxis regulation, signal transduction, secretion and chitin. Lineage: Bacteria; Bacillati; Bacillota; Bacilli; Caryophanales; Paenibacillaceae. The record is from RNAcentral.